AUUGAACGCUGGCGGCAGGCCUACCACAUGCAAGUCGAACGCGUGGCGGACGGGUGAGUAAUGUCUGGGAAACUGCCCGAUGGAGGGGGAUAACUACUGGAAACGGUAGCUAAUACCGCAUACCAUCGGAUGUGCCCAGGUGGGAUUCGCUAGUAGGUGGGGUAACGGCUCACCUAGGCGAAGAUCCCUAGCUGGUCUGAGAGGAUGACCGUCCACACUGGAACUGAGAAACGGUCCAGACUCGUACGGUAGGCAGCAGUGGGGAAUAUUGCACAAUGGGCGCAAGCCUGAUGCAGCCAUGCCGCGUGUGUGAAGAAGGCCGUAGGGUUGUAAAGUACUUUCAGCAAGGAGGCGUUACUCGCAGAAGAAGCACCGGCUAACUCCGUGCCAGCAGCCGCGGUAAUUC
RNAcentral lists this ribosomal RNA (406 nucleotides) under uncultured bacterium. RNAcentral's name for it is "partial 16S ribosomal RNA". It matches the Rfam family "Bacterial small subunit ribosomal RNA", at positions 30 to 526 of the family's 1533-position model. The record is from RNAcentral.